Molecule: long non-coding RNA, 26942 nt
Filed under: Manihot esculenta (cassava)
Lineage: Eukaryota; Viridiplantae; Streptophyta; Magnoliopsida; Malpighiales; Euphorbiaceae
Description: long non-coding RNA (MESC_LNC011731)
Source: RNAcentral
AUUCAUUAUCUCAGCUUACAAUACAUGUCCACACUAACAUACUAAACUAUUACAAAGCCACAACCUUAACUCUUGAGACUUCCUAAUCUUCCUCAGACCUGCAAACCUGAGGUUAGGGGAGAGGGGUGAGCUAAAAAGCCCAGUGAGUAGAAACAAAGAAAACAGUUCAUUAAUUACAUGCAUUCAUGAAAUGCGUCACAGCACAAACAAUUCACAUCACGGAUUGGACAUGACCUCCAAAGCUCCCUCUGUCAAUGCCCGGCCCCCAAAGGAGCUCACAUAGGACUUUCACUACAUAACAUGGUGCCUGGCCCUCAAAGGAGCUCACAGGACUUUCAUUACAUGGUGCCCGGCCCUCAAAGGAGCUCCACAGGACUUCUCUUGUCGUGACAGAUCGUGGGCCAUUGGGGUUGCCUUGGUCCAUCCACAUCAACAAUAAAUAAUGCAACGCGUCAUAUUCGUGGAACUAGUGCAAUCAAUCUAUUACAUAUAAUCAUGAUGCAUGAACAUGCUUUAGGCAUUUGAUUUCAUAAAAUAAAAGAUUAAGUUUAGUUCUACUCACCUCUGGUAGACGCUGGACUAACUCCGCAACUGCUAACACUGAUGGCCUCCUCGGACCCUCGGGUCCAAUCCUACACAGGUGGAAUUGAAUGAGGUGCCAAACACAUUCUAAACAACUCAUAAACAACUACCCGAAAACCCCUCUAAACAUCACUUAAACAUGCAUAGAAAACAACCAUAAAAGGGCUAGACAGGGCACUUUCGGCGGCCGAAGGUCCCUUCCAGAGCCGAAAGCCAUGCAGGUUCGGCGGCAGGUUCGGCGGCUGAAGCCUCACUCCAAAUCCGAAAGUCAGGCACCUUCGGCGGCCGAACAUCACCUUCGGCGGCCUAAAGUCUGCUCCAGAUCCGAAACACAACUUUCGGGGGCAAGGUUAGGCGGCCAAUCUAUGCAUCCAUAGGCAGGUUCGGCGGCCGAAACCACCUUCGGCGGCCGAACCUGAGUUCACCCAGAACUCUGCCUCAUGCACAAACAAGCCUCCCAAACCUUACCAACACCCAAAACAUGCCUCCAACCUCACAAACACAUGCAUAAACCCCUAACCAUGCACAAAGGAGCUUAAACAAGCUUAAACUCCAACAAAGAACAUCAUAAAGCAUGCAUAAAUAGCUUAUGACCCACAUAAGCCAAAACCAUCAAAACUACUCAAAACCUCACUUGCUCUUUCCCAAUCAUGCAUACACUCUCCCACAUGCAUAAAGGAGCAUAAACUAACAUAAACCUUCAACACAAACAUCACAUAACAUACAUUGGGCAUAAAAUCCACAUAAACCUAAACAUGCAUAUCUACCCAUACUCAACCAUCAAAACAUCAUUAAACUUACUUAAAACUUCAUUAAAACACAAGGAAAGCAAGGAUCUACACUUACCUCUUGAAGAUCGAGGGGUUGUGCAAUCCCUAACUUGGAGGUGUGGAGGAUUCAAGCUCCAAAAGCCUCCAAGCUCCCAAAACUCCUAUUUAAGCUUUAAAACAUCAAAACAAGGGUAGAACUCAUGAAAAACUUGAGGGAUGGGUAGAGAAAGCAUGAAAACGAUCAAAGGAGUACAAAAACUCACCUGAGCUCGAGAAUGGGGAGAAAACUCGCCCAUGUCUGAUCUGAGGGCUCUUUAUAGGUGACCUGGUCAAAGACCUUCGGCAGCCUAACGUGCCCCCUAAACUCAUGCAUGUUCGGCGGCCGAACCUUGGUUCGUUUAAACAAAGCUUUCGGAGGCCAAAAGCCCUCCCAAAACCUUCCCAUGUUCGGCGGCCGAACUUGACUUUCGGCGGCUGAACCUAGCAAAUGCCUCCUUGGUCUUUUCUUUUCAAAACUCAAUUCUUUUCCAUUUAAAACUAUGAAAUCAGUAAAAACAUUCUAGAAAACACAUUUUACCCCUCUAGAAGACUCUGGCAUCUUCAGAAUUCCAGAUUCCAACGAAGAUUCCCCCGAAAGGAAGGGAUUCUGAUGCCGGAAUCUAGCCGGGCAUUACAUCAUGGGCCCAUUCCCAUCAUCCUUGUAGUGGAUUAUGUGUCCAAGUGGGUGGAAGCAAGAGCAACUAAGACUGAUGAUACCAAGGCAGUAGUAGACUUUGUGAAGACCAAUAUCUUUGACAGACAUGGAGUACCAAAGGCAAUCAUCAGUGACAGAGGGACCCAUUUUUGCAAUAAGUUAGUAGAAAGUCUUCUCAGAAAGCACAAUGUGUUCCAUAGAACAUCCACAACAUACCACCCUCAUACAAAUGGGCAAGCUGAAGUGUCCAACAGAGAAAUCAAGGCCAUCCUUGAAAAGACAGUAUCUCCCAAUCGGAAGGACUGGAGUACACGUUUGGAAGAUGCUCUAUGGGCCUACAGGAUAGCUUAUAAGACCCCCAUAGGUAUGUCCCCUUACAGAUUGGUCUAUGGUAAAGCUUGUCACCUUCCAGUUGAGCUUGAACACAAGGUCUAUUGGGCCGUAAAGAAUUGCAACAUGGACCUCAAAGAAGCUGGACAACAUCGCAAGUUGCAACUGCAAGAGCUAGAAGAAAUAAGACGAGAUACUUAUGAGACUUCUUGAAACUACAAAGCAAAAACCAAAGCCUCCCUCGACAGUCAGCUUUCAAGAAAACAAUUUGAGGUUGGUGAUAAAGUCUUACUCUUUGACUCUCGUUUGAAAUUGUUUCUAGGAAAGCUACAGUCUAGGUGGAUUGGACCAUUCAUUGUAGAACAUGCUUACCCACAUGGAGCUGUAGACAUUCGCAGUAUAGAGACAGGAAAAAUCUUCAAGGUGAAUGGCCAUCGUCUAAAACCUUUCUAUGAAGGAUUUGCAGUGCAAGUAGUGGAAGAAAUUCCACUACAUCAACCAUCUCAUUCAGCCUAAGUGAUCACACCAUGCACACCACACCCCAGGGGAGUACUCAUUUUCCUUUGUUCUUUUAUGUUUCUUAUACAUUGAGGACAAUGCAUGAUUUAGGUGUGGGGGUGCAUAUUUCUUCUCUUCUUCUUCUCUUCUUCCUCUUCUUUUCUUCUUCUUUUCCUCUCAGCCUGCGGAAUUUUUUUCAUUUUUUCCUUUCAGAAUUUGCGAUUUUUGCUUAUUCAAUUUUGCUUUCAGUUUUCCUUUAGUUUGUUUUCAUUUAUGCUUUCAAUAACACACACACAACCACAACCUUCUUCUUCUUCAUUUUGUUUUGCUCUACUCAAACUGAUGAACUAUGUUGGAUGACUUUUUGUUUCCAUGACCCCAUUGAUGUGAUGACUCUUUAAACUUAUGUUGAAUCAAUUGCAGUGAGUUAUAUUCAUGUUUGAGAAUUGCCUUUUGAAUUGAAUAUUUGAGUUUGUCAUGGUGAAAAAUAUAUUGACGACACUCAUUAGAGAAAAUAAAUUGAAAUUGUGUGAAUAAACUUAACAUGACUUUCUUUAGUAAUUGUUGUUGAUUUGCCCAAAUCAUUGAGAGAAAGAAAAUUCAGCAAAGGCAAAGACCUCAUAAGCACAAAUUCAAAAACUGUUCCAAUGGUCAAAAGACUAUGAACAGAGCUAGUAGCCACUUGGACAGGUGACCAACUGAGUAACUGGGGGUGGGUAUCACAAAUAUGUACCUUCGCGUCAAAAGGUUGGUGACUUUUUCAAGCAAAAUUAAAGUGCAAAAAGCUGAAUAAAGUACUUCAAGGUAAGGGCAAGUCACUCUGAAAGCUAAAAAGAGUAUUAUCUGAACAAAUAAUAUGUGCAUGUAUGAUCUCUCUCUUGAGUAAAAUAAAUCCUAGCCAUGGUAAGUAAAGGGAAACAAGGAAAGAAGGUGAGUAAUCUUUAUGCCUAUAUUCUUCACUGUAAUGAUUCAAAAUAGGUGUCUUGAGAAAGAGCUUAAGUGGAAAUAAGGAUCAAGUAGCAAAGAAAGCUUAUUUGACUAUGUUUAUUUGCUUGAGGACAAGCAAAAGGCUAGGUGUGGGGGUAUUUGAUAGAGCAUAUUUUAGUCCUUUUUAUCUUGAUAUUAUUGAUGAUUAUUUACUUGAUUUCUGCUUAAUUUAGUGCUCUUGGCAUUGUUUUACAGAAAAUGGUGUAAAAGGACAUUUUGGAGAAAAUCCCCCUAAAAUUGCCUUAAAUGGAGCAAAGGAGAGCAAGUCUGCCAAGCUGAAAUCAAGUCAAGCUAAAUAAGGAAAGUUCUAAAUAAGGAAAGUGGCAAAUAUGGAAAGAACAUUCAGCCAAGGCAAUUUGAAAUUCAAAUUUCAAAUCUCCAAGUAGCCUUUUCCUUAUUCAAGAAGCCAAAUCUGAAGUUGCCAUAUGUGAAGAGCCAAAUAAGGAAAGUAUUUUGAAAUUCAAAUCUUCAAGAUUCAUAUUCAAAUUUUGAAUUUCAAAAUCCAGCUUAUUAAGGAAGCCAAAUCCAAAGAUCACAUGCUUGUCACCUCAUGCCUUGCACAUUCAAAAUUCAAAUUGCAAUGGAGGCUCCACCUUCCUUAUUAGUGCAUGGGCGGCAAGGAGAGUGUGAAGGCAAGUCUUGGGAACCUUGGGCAGCAUCUUGAAGACAUUUGGGCAGCAAACAAAGACCAAAAGACCCACUCUUGCACAAGCCACACAUGCCCCACUUUUUUUCCUUCACACAUGUGCAUGGAUGGCACAUCUUGAACCAAGGGCAUUUUGGGCAGCCUCUUGAAACCCUAAGACAGCACCUUAGAACAUAUUUAAAGAUCUCAAAGAGGCCAUCCAAGGCAGAUUGGGACAGCAACUCAUCAACACACCAUUUGGCCAAGGCUCUCCAAGGCUUUUCUCCACUUCGGUUCUUCAUCUUCUUGCUUUCUUUUCUUUUAUUUUCUGUUUUGGUUCAGCCAUGAGUGGUUGAAACCUUUUAUUCUAGUUGAAGAUUGAUUGAAACUAAGGUUGUUUUAUGGAUUGUGAGAUCUGAACAUAAACUAUUUGUCUUUGAUUAGUUCAAUAUUCAUACAAUUGUGUGCUUGAAUCUAAGAUUGCUUUAUUGUUUUGAUCAAAUUGGCCACUUGAUUCUUGAUUGCAAGGUAAUUGAUUGUUAGUUGGGAUAAUUUUUAGUCCAUAAUUGCUGGAAUUAUUCUGACCUAAGAACACUUGGUGUAAAAACUAAGGAAUUGUAUGAUCUAGCAACAUCUCAUGCCUUUGAGUAGCUAGGAUUGGAUCUAUCUAUUUCUUCAUGCAAUUGACAAUUGUUUUGAUGCCUAAGGCCCAAGGACGUUUCUUGGCAAUUUGUUAAUUAGUAAUUGAUUAGAGGACGUUCCCUAAUUGAGAUAAUCAUAAGGAGAGACAUGGUGGUGAGAAGCAUUUUCCAUCCCCAUAACUAAUUUAUUGAACCAAUCAAGAGAACAUGAGUUUCAAUGAUCAAUUCAAACAACCAAAGUGGAUCCAUCUCUUCAACUAGACUUUUCUCAUAUUGAAUUUCUCUUUUAUUUUAUUAUUACUUGCUCUUUUAAUUACUGUCCGUAGUUGUUAAUCAAAUCAAACCUCAAAACCCCCCUUUUUUUACUUUUGCUGCACUUUACUUUUGAUUCGCUUUCAGUUACUUGCUUUCAGUUUCUCAUUCAAUUAAUUCUCUUGGUCUUGUUGAGAAGAAUACAUAAGUUUACAAUUCUAUAUGGAUUCGAUCCUUUACCACUAUCUGCAGUUGUAAAAUUGUUUAUAACUGGAAAGGUUAUUUUUGACCGGCUUCGACAACCGAGAGUCAAAAAUUGGCGCCGUAGCCGGGGAAUUAUUCUAACUUGUUUAUUUUUCUUUCAUGACCAGAUCUGAACAUAAGGAUACUCUACCUUACGAUUCGGAAAUUGAACGCACCAUCAGGAGACUAGGAAAGCAAGCCACUGCGCUAGAACACCCAACUGAAGCCACACUUGCGCCUGAAGGAGCCUCUUGGACAUACCACCAUCUGAACACCACCGAAACACACCACCAAGCCGCACCAAUGGCUGAACCUAAUGCACAACAUGCUGCCCAAAAUGGACAUGCUGUCCAUGACCAAAUAAUUCAAGAAAAUCCAGCCUUUAGAGCUCUAAUGCCAAGAGAAAGGACCAUGAGAGAAUUGGCAACACCUGUAGGUGAUCAAGCGCCACUUUGCAUCACCUAUCCACCUCUGACAGUUCCCUUUGAACUGAAAACAAGUUUGAUUCAUCUUCUCCCUAAAUUUAAAGGUUUGCAAAAUGAAAAUCCACACAAGCAUUUGAAAGAGUUUAAUAUUGUUUGUUCAUCCAUGAGACCUCAAGGUAUUUCUGCAAGUCAUAUUAAGUUAAGAGCUUUUCCUUUUUCAUUAGAUGACUAUGCUAAAGAUUGGUUGUUUUAUUUGCCACCUGAAUCUAUAACUUCUUGGAAUGAUAUGGUCCAAACCUUUUUGAACAAAUACUUCCCAACAUCUAAGUCAAUUGGCAUACUAAGAGAAAUCACUAGCACAAGACAGAAACUAACUGAGGAUUUAUAUGAUUAUUGGGAAAGGUUUGAAAGACUGUGUACAGAUUGUCCACAAUAUGAUAUGUCAGACAGGUCUCUCAUACAUUUCUUCUAUGGGGGAUUGCUCUCAUCAGAAAGGAGAUUCAUAGAUGUAGCUUAUGGAGGAUCCAUUGCAGACAAGACACUUAGGGAGAUGCGAGAGUUGAUCUCCACACUUGCAGCCUCAUCUAGGCAAUAUGGAGAAGAAAAGCAACUGCAAAGAGGAAUCAAUAAGGUAAGUUCACCUACUAUUUCUGAACUGACAUAUGUUAUGAAAGAUUUUUCCAUAGGACUGGUUCAACAGAUUCAAACAUCCCAGCCACCUAGGCCAUGUGCUAUUUGUGCAUAUGUAGGACAUCCAACUGAUCAAUGUCCUACUCUUCAAGAAGACAACCAGCAAGUUAAUGCCAUUGGAGGAUAUAACAACCAGCCUAGACAUGAUCCAUAUUCCAACACUUACAACCCAGGUUGGAGAGACCACCCCAAUCUCAGCUAUGGAAGGGCUAACAACAAUCAGAACUAUCAUAACUAUCAAAGGAAUCAAGCCCAACCAGCACCUCCAAAUUCCAUCCAGCACCUUGAAAAGAUGAUGGAAACAAUGGUAAAUGCCAUGCAAGGCAUGUGACAGGACAUAGGACAACUGACUACAUCCAUGAGCAUAUCUGAAUCCCAAGGUAAGCUCCCUUCUCAAACUGAAACUAAUCCUAGAUAAAAUGUUAGUGCCAUUACUUUGAGAAGCGGAAAGGAGCUUCAAGAUGCCAGAUAUGAGGAAGAAAAGCAAGUUGCACAAGAGCCUGCACAACCUGAAGCCUCUCCUGCGCAAAGUGAAACACCUACGCAACCCCAUCUCCAUGAGCCAGCUAGCCGAGCUCCACCUGAAGCACCUCCUGCGCAGAAGACUGAUCAAAAGGUAAGCUUUCACAUUCCACCUCCUUUUCCAAAGAGAUUUGAAAGAACAUAAAAAGAAAAGGAAGAAAAGGAGAUCCUUGACACCUUUCGAAAGGUCCAGAUCAACAUACCUCUACUAGAUGCUGUUAAGCAGAUUCCAAGGUACGCAAAAUUUUUGAAAGAACUUUGCACCAAUAGAAGAAAGCUUGCUGAGAGAGAAAAAGUAAGUGUAGGUGAAGUUGUUACUGCUGUGAUUAAAAGAGAACUCCCUGCUAAAUGCAAAGACAAAGGUAUGUUUGCUAUUUCUUGCAAAAUUGGGAAUGUUGGUAUUAAGAAAGCUAUGUGUGAUCUUGGUGUAUCCAUCAAUGUUAUGCCUCUUUCCAUCUAUAAUUCUCUUAAUGCAUGUGCACUGAAAGACACAAGAGUUGUGAUUCAAUUAGCUGAUAGAUCUGUGGUAUAUCCCAUAGGUGUUCUAGAGGAUGUGUUAGUUCAAGUAGAUGAACUUGUCUUUCCUGCAGACUUUUAUGUGAUUGAUACUAAGGAAGAUAGUUGCAAUACUAGUUCUGACAUCCUUCUUGGACGUCCUUUCUUGAGUAUUGCUAGGACUAAGAUUGAUGUACAUGAUGGUACUUUGACUAUGGAGUUUGAAGGGGAAGUCAUUAAAUUUAAUGUCUAUGAUGCUAUGAAAUAUCCACAUUUAUGGUCUUGAUAUUGUUGACUAUUUGAGCCAGGAAAUUUUUGAUAAAAAUCAAGAUGAUAUUCUUAACAGUGAUUUCUGCAGAGAUACUGAUCAAGUACAGAUUGAGAGCCCGAAAGAGCCAAAACUUAAGGAAACAGUCUGUAGCAUCCAACAGGUAGUCUGCAGUCAAGCGCAGAAUAAAGGAUAGUUAGUCACACCACUUCAGGAAGGACCUGCGCAAACUGAAGCCAUGAUCUUUCGGCCGCCGAACUCCACUUCCUUUCGGCCGUCGAACUCUACUACCUUUCAGGCACCGAACUCUUCACCUCAGCUCCCAUCGCAGACUGAAACCAUCCUCAGUGCAGCUCUUCAUCCUCCCUUUCAGCCCAGUCCUGUACAAAGGGAAGCUUCUGAAUCUAGUUCUGCGCCACCUCCAUUGCAGUCAAUCCACGAGCAACACCUUUCAGAAUUUGAAGAAUGUAAGAAUGGCCUUCUUGAACAAAUCUUCCUUGCCCUAUCUGAUGAACCAUGGUACACAGACAUGGUGAACUACUUGGCUACAGGUAAUUUAUUUUCUGACAUGUCAAAGCACACCAAGGAUAAGAUAAAGAAAGAUGCCAAAUACUAUGUUUGGGAUGAGCCAUAUCUAUGGAAACAUUGUGCUGAUCAAAUGAUAAGGAUAUGUAUUCCUGACCAAGAAAUAUCUUCUGUGCUUACUUUUUAUCAUUCAUAUAGUUGUGGUGGACACUUUGGUCCAACAAAGACUGCUCAUAAGAUACUUGAAAGUGGCCUAUUCUGACCCACUAUUUUUCGAAAUGCUUUUCUGUCUUGCAGAUCAUGUGCUAGGUGCCAACAAAUAGGAAAUUUGAGCAAAAGAAAUCAAAUGCCACAGAACCCCAUCAUGGUCUGUGAACUAUUUGACGUGUGGGGCAUAGACUUCAUGGGCCCAUUCCCACCAUCCUUUGAAUACACUUACAUCAUCCUUGCAGUGCAUUAUGUGUCCAAGUGGGUGGAAGCUAGAGCAACUAAGACUGAUGAUGCCAAGGCAGUAGUAGACUUUGUGAAGACCGAUAUCUUUGCCAGACAUGGAGUACCAAAGGCAAUCAUCAGUGACAGAAGGACACAUAUUUUCAAUAAGGCAGUAGAAAGCCUUCUCAGAAAGCACAAUGUGAUUCAUAGAACAUCCACAGCAUACCACCCUCAGACAAAUGGGCAAGCUGAAGUGUCCAAUAGAGAAAUCAAGGCCAUCCUUGAAAAGACAGUAUCUCCCAAUCGGAAGGACUAGAGUACACGUUUGGAAGAUGCUCUAUGGGCCUACAAGACAUCUUACAAGACCCCCAUGGGUAUAUCCCUUUACAGAUUGGUCUAUGGGAAAGCUUGUCACCUUCCAGUUGAGCUUGAACACAAGGCCUAUUGGGCUGUAAAGAAUUGCAACAUGGACCUCAAAGAAGUUGGACAACAUCGCAAGUUGCAACUGCAAGAGCUAGAAGAAAUAAGACGAGAUGCUUAUGAGACUUCUUGGAACUACAAAGCAAAAACCAAAGCCUCCCAUGACAGUCAGCUUUCAAGAAAACAAUUUGAGGUUGGUGAUAAAGUCUUACUCUUUGACUCUCGUUUGAAAUUAUUUCCAGGAAAGCUACGGUCUAGGUGGAUUGGACACUUCAUUGUAGAACAUGCUUACCCACAUGGAGCUGUAGACAUUCGCAGUAUAGAGAUAGGAAAAAUCUUCAAGGUGAAUGGCCAUCGUCUAAAACCUUUCUAUGAAGGAUUUGCAGUGCAAGUAGUGGAAGAAAUUCCACUACAUCAACCAUCUCAUUCAGCCUAAGUGAUCGCACCAUGCACACCACACCCCAAGGGAGUACUCAGUUUCCUUUGUUCUUUUAUGUUUCUUAUACAUUGAGGACAAUGCAUGAUUUAGGUGUGGGGGUGCAUAUUUCUUCUCUUCUCCUUCUCUUCUUCCUCUUCUUUUCUUCUUCUUUUCCUCUCAGCCUGCGAAAUUGUUUUCAUUUUUUCCUUUCAGAAUUUGUGAUUUUUGCUUAUUCAGUUUUGCUUUCAGUUUUCCUUUAAAUUGUUUUCAUUUAUGCUUUCAAUAACACACACACAACCACAACCUUCUUCUUCUUCAUUUUGUUUUGCUCUACUCAAACUCAUGAACUAUGUUGGAUGACUUUUUCUUUCCAUGACCCCAUUAAUGUCAUGACUCUUUAAACUUAUGUUGAAUCAAUUGCAGUGAGUUAUAUUCAUGUUUGAGAAUUGCCUUUUGAAUUGAAUCUUUGAGUUUGCCAUGGUGAAAAAUAUAUUGAUGACACUCAUUAGAGAGAAUAAAUUGAAAUUGUGUGAAUGAACUUAACAUGACUUGCUUUAGUAAUUGGUGUUAAUUUGCCCAAAUCAUUGAGAGAAAGAAAAUUCAGCAAAGGCAAAGACCUCAUAAGCUCAAAUUCAAAAACUGUUCCAAUGGUCAAAAGACUAUGAACAGAGCUAGUAACCACUUGGACAGGUGACCAACUGAGUAACUGGGGGUGGGUAUCACAAAUAUGUACCUUCGCGUCAAAAGGUUGGUGACUUUUUCAAGCAAAAUUAAAGUGCAAAAAGCUGAAUAAAGUACUUCAAGGUAAGGGCAAGUCACUCUGAAAGCUAAAAAGAGUAUGAUCUGAACAAAUAAUAUGUGCAUGUAUGAUCUCUCUCUUUAGUAAAACGAAUCCUAGCCGUGGUAAGUAAAGGGAAACAAGGAAAGAAGCUGAGUAAUCUUCAUGCCUAUAUUCUUCACUGUAAUGAUUCAAAAUAGGUGUCUUGAGAAAGAGCUUAAGUGGAAAUAAGGAUCAAGUAGCAAAGAAAGCUUAUUUGACUAUGUUUAUUUGCUUGAGGACAAGCAAAAGGCUAGGUGUGGGGGUAAUUGAUAGAGCAUAUUUUAGUCCUUUUUAUCUUGAUAUUAUUGAUGAUUAUUUACAUGAUUUCUGCUUAAUUUAGUGCUCUUGGCAUUGUUUUGCAGAAAAUGGUGUAAAAUGAUAUUUUGGAGAAAAUCCCCCUAAAACUGCCUUAAAUGGAGCAAAGGAGAGCAAGCCUGCCAAGUUGAAAUCAAGUCAAGCAAAAUAAGGAAAGUUCUAAAUAAGGAAAGUGGCAAAUAUGGAAAAAACAUUCAGCCAAGUCAAUUUGAAAUUCAAAUUUCAAAUCUCCAAGUAGCCUUUUCCUUAUUCAAGAAGCCAAAUCGGAAGUUGCCAUAUGUGAAGAGCCAAAUAAGGAAAAUAUUUUGAAAUUCAAAUCUUCAAGAUUCAUAUUCAAAUUUUGAAUUUCAAAAUCCAGCUUAUUAAGGAAGCUAAAUCCAAAGAUCACAUGCUUGUCACCACAUGCCUUGCACAUUCAAAAUUCAAAUUGCAAAGGGGCUCCACCUUCUUUAUUAGUGCAUGGGCGGCAAGGAGAGUGUGAAGGCAAGUCUUCGGCACCUUGGGCAGCAUCUUAAAGAUAUUUGGGCAGCAAACAAAGACCAAAAGACCCACUCUUGCACAAGCCACACAUGCCCCACGUUUUUUCCUUAACACAUGUGCAUGGAUGGCACAUCUUGGACCAAGGGCAUUUUGGGCAGCCUUUAAAAACGUGGGCAGCCAUUUAAAACCCUAAGACAGCACCUUAGAACAUAUUUAAAGACCUCAAAGAGGCCAUCCAAGGCAGAUUAGGACAGCAACUCAUCAACACACCAUUUGGCCAAGGCUCUCCAAGGCUUCUCCACUUCGGUUCUUCAUCUUCUUGCUUUCUUUUCUUUUAUUUUCUGUUUUGGUUCAGCCAUGAGUGGCUGAAACCUUUUAUUCUAGUUGAAGAUUGGUUGAAACUAAGGUUGUUUUAUGGAUUGUGAGAUCUGAACAUAAACUAUUUGUCUUUGAUUAGUUCAAUAUUCAUACAAUUGUGUGCUUGAAUCUAAGAUUGCUUUGUUGUUUUUGAUCAAAUUGGCCACUUGAUUCUUGAUUGCAAGGUAAUUGAUUAUUAGUUGGGAUAAUUUUUAGUCCGUAAUUGCUGGAAUUAUUCUGACCUAAGAACACUUGGUGUAAAAACUAAGGAAUUGUAUGAUCUAGCAACAUCUCAUGCCUUUGAGUAGUUAGGAUUGGAUCUCUCUAUUUCUUCAUGCAAUUGACAAUUGUUUUGAUGCCUAAGGCCCAAGGACGUUCUUCGCAAUUUGUUAAUUAGUAAUUGAUUAGAAGACGUUCCCUAAUUAAUUUAAUCAUAAGGAGAGACAUGGUGGUGAGAAGCGUUUUCCAUCCCCAUAACUAAUCUAUUGAACCAAUCAAGAGAAGGUGAGUUUCAAUGAUCAAUCCAAACAAUUAAAGUGGAUCCAUCUCUUCAACUAGACUUUUUUCAUAUUGAAUUUCUCUUUUAUUUUAUUAUUACUUGCUCUUUUAAUUGCUGUCCGUAGUUGUUAAUCAAAUCAAACCUCAAAACCCCCUUUUUUUUACUUUUACUGGACUUUACUUUUGAUUCGCUUUCAGUUACUUGCUUUUAGUUUCUCAUUCAAUUAAUUCUCUUGAUCUUGUUGAGAAGAAUAGAUAAGUUUACAAUUCUCUGUGGAUUCGAUCCUUUACCACUAUCUGCUGUUGUAAAAUUGUUGAUAACCGAAAAUGUUAUUUUUGACCAGCCAUGCAUUGAUAAAUUCAAAUUAUAUUUUUGAUUGAUAAAUUCAAAUGAUAUUGAUCACACUAUCAAUUCAUUUGAGCACGGCCAUGCAUUUCUCAGCCUCACUUAUCGAGGGGCCCAGAAGAUAUCUCUCUCAUAGAGAGGGACAAAUCCUAUAUUGAUUGUUCAUUAUCCUCUACAUAAUUUCUAUCAUGCUCAAUCAUAACCUUUAUGAUUGUCCGAUUAAAGAUAACAUUUGGUUAUGUCAAAACAUAAUAGUCCUUAUGUUGGAAACUAUGACAAUCUCAAGUCAAAGAAUUAAGAUAUAACUACUUUGAGAUUCACUUAUGACAAUGACCCAUGUAGUGAUCUCAAUGCGGGUCCAUCCAAUACUUUGCUCUCUAACAAGUAUUUAUGAUUAUUAAAUUAUAUCAACAUAUACAUAAUCAUCUCAUGAUUAUUAAUCAAUAAUCAUACCAGUUAUAUUUUAUUAUUAUCAACAUAAUAAUAAGUAACCAGGGAUGAUAAUCAUUAUUAUGUAACAUGCAAACAAAUAAUAAUGACAAAAACAUCUUUUAUUAAUAACCAAAACGACAUACAAAAAGGUCCAAGAUAAUGGCCUAGGGCAUAUACACUAACAAUCUCCCACUUGCACUAGGCCUAAUCAUAUAAUUGUCUAAUACCCAUAGACCUGGUGUGCUGAUCAUGCUUGACCUGUGGAAGAGGCUUGGUCAGUGGAUUUGCAAUGUUGUCAUUUGUGUCUACUUUGCAUAUUUUGAUAUCUCCUCUAUCAAUGAUCUCUCAAAUAAGGUGAUAUCACCUGAGUAUAUGUUUAGAUCUCUGGUGAGAUCUGGGCUCCUUUGCUUGUGCUAUGGCACCGUUAUUAUCACAAUAAAGGUCCAUAGGUUUUGCAAUGCUGGGAACCAUUCCCAACUCUGAGUUGAAUUCCUUCAACCAGACUGCCUUUUUAGCUGCAUCUAAUAUUGCUAUAUACUCAGCUUCUAUUGUAGAAUCUGCUAUAGUGCUCUGCUUGGAACUUUUCCAACUAACAACUCCAUCAUUUAAAGUGAAUACGAAUCCUGACUGCGAUCUGAAGUCAUCUAUGUCGAUUUGGAAACUAGCAUAUGUGUAACCACUUACAACUAGCUCGUUUUACAAUCCUCCAUAAACUAGGAAUGCAUCCUUAGUCCUUCUAAGGUACUUUAAGAUAUUCUUAACAGCUGUCUAGUGACUUUCACAGGGAUCUGCUUGAUAUCUGCUUGUUGUGCUCAAGGCAUAUGAGACGUUUGGUCUAGUACAUAACAUGGCAUACAUGAUAGAUCCAAUAGCAGAAGCAUAAGGGAUCUUAUUCAUCCGUUAUCGCUCAUCAGAUGUCAUAGGACAUUGAUUCUUGCUGAGAUGAAUACCGUGAGACAUGGGCAAGAAUCCUCUUUUGGAGUCUUGCAUGCUGAACCUUUUGAGCACUUUGUUAAUAUAAGUACUUUGACUCAGACCGAUUAUCCUCUUGGAUCUAUCCCUAUAGAUCUUAAUACCAAGGAUAUAUGCGGCCUCACCUAAGUCCUUCAUUGAAAAAUAAUUUCCUAACCAAGUCUUAACCUUUUGCAAGGUAGGGAUAUCAUUUCCAAUGAGUAAUAUGUCAUCCAUAUAUAGGACUAGAAACACAACUGCAAUCCCACUAACCAUCUUGUAAACACAAGGUUCAUCUUCAUUUUUUAUGAAUCCAAAGUCCCUGACUGUUUCAUCAAAACGAAGAUUCUAGCUUCGAGAAGCUUGCUUCAAUCCAUAAAUGGAUCUCUGAAGCUUGCAAAUCUUUCCAGAAUUCUCAAGGAUUACAAAACCCUUAGGUUGUGUCAUGUACACAUCCUCGAGCAAAAGUUCACGAUUGUCAGUCAUGAGAAAUCCAUAUCUCUUAGGCUGAUGACGUGUCCUAUCAGAUCUGCAUGGGACUUGUGUCACCCUUUCAGUUUCCAUAACUAUUCGUGGUUCUGGAAGUGGUUCUACCAAUGGUUCAAUGCUCUCUUGGGGUUCUUAAGUUUCCUCAAGUCGCACUGUACUCCCACUGAAUCUCUGAGAGAUAAAUUCCUUUUCCAAAAAGGUAUCAUUUCGAGCAACAAACACUUUGUUCUCUGAGAGAAUAUAGAAACAGUAUCCUUUGGUUUCCUUAGGAUACCCCACAAAAAUAAUCAUCAAUAAUAUCAAGAUAAAAUGGACUAAAAUAUGUUCUAUCAAAUACCCCCACACCUAGCCUUUUGCUUGUCCUCAAGCAAAUAAACAUAGUCAAAUAAGCUUUCUUUGCUACUUGAUCCUUAUUUCCACUUAAACUCUUACUCUAGACACCUAUUUUGAAUCAUUGCAGUGAAGAAUAUAUGCAUGAAGAUUACUCACCUUCUUUCCUUGUUUCCCUUUACUUACCAUGGCUAGGAUUUGUUUUACUUAAGAGAGAGAUCAUACAUGCACAUAUUAUUUGUUCAAAUAAGAGUAUUUUUAGCUUUCAGAUUGACUUGCCCUUACCUUGAAGUACUUUAUUCAGUCUUUUGCACUUAGCUCUUGCUUGAAAAAGUCACCAACCUUUUGACAUGAAGGUACAUAUUGGUAAUACCCACCCCCAGUUACUCAGUUGGUCACUUGUCCAAGUGGCUACUAGCUCUGUUCAUAGUCUUUCAACUAUUGGAACUAGUAGGUGAACUAGUAGGUGAAAGCAAAAAUCGCAUGAACUGAAACAAGUAAAAAUCGCAAAUGUGGAAGAGAAAAUGAAAAAAAAAAUUUCGCAGACUGAAAGGAAAAGAAGAAGAAGAAGAGAAGAAGAAGAAGAUAAAAUAAGAAGAGAAAGGGAUAUGCACCCCCACACCUAAAUCAUGCAUUGUCCUCAAUGUAUAAGAAACAUAAAAGAACAAAGGAAACUGAGUACUCCCCUGGGGUGUGGUGUGCGUGGCAUGAUCACUUAGGCUGAAUGAGUGACAAACAGAUGUUCGUCUGGAAAUUCUUCCUUGACUAGACAAGGUGUAUAGCUAGAUGGAAGCCGGCUAAGGUGGUCGGCUAUAAGAUUUUCUUUCCUUUUCUUGUCUCUUAUCUCCAUAUCAAAUUCUUGUAACAACAGAAUCUACCGAAUGACUUUGGUUCCCAAGAGAUAUGGUCUAAAUUUCUCUAAAGCAAAUACAACAGCUAAGAGCUCCUUUUCUGUUGUUGUGUAGUUGCUUUGUGUAGCAUCCAAUGUGCGAGAGGCAUAGUGAAUGACGUGCGGUGAGUUUCCCACACGUUGCCCCAAGACUGCUCCUACAACAUGGUUGCUUGCAUCACACAUGAUUUCAAAAGGCAGGUUCCAGUCAGGUGCCUGAAUAAUUGGAGCAGUCACAAGCAAUUCUUUAAUCAGAUCAAAUGCCUUUUUGCAAUAUGCAUCAAAAUCAAAUGUUACAUCCUGUUGGAGCAAUUUACAUAAUUGCAAUGUAAUUUUAGAGAAAUCUUUGAUGAAUCUUCUAUAGAACCCUGCAUGGCCAAGGAAUGAUCGAAUUUCUUUAACAUUUGUAGGGUAAGGUAGAUUUUUAAUUGUGUCUACCUUAGCCUUGUCUACCUCAAUUCCUUUAGCUGAAACAACAUGUCCUAAAACCAUACCUUGAUUAACCAUAAAAUGACAUUUUUCAUAAUUCAGUACAAGGUUAGACUCAAGGCAUCUCUGUAGGAUCUUUUCCAAGUUGGCAAGGCAUUCUUCAAAGGAGUUGCCAUGCACUGUGAAAUCAUCCAUGAACACUUCAACUGUCUUACCCACAUAGUUAGAGAAUAUGCUCAUCAUGCAUCGCUGAAAGGUGGCAUGUGCAUUGCAUAGUCCAAAUGGCAUUCUUCUAAAGGUAAAAGUGCCAAAAGGACAAGUGAAGGUGGUCUUCUCUUGGUCCUCUGGGGCAACUGAAAUCUGAUAAAAACCUAAAUAACCAUCAAGACAACAGUAAUGGGACUUACCUGCAAGCCUUUCUAGCAUCUGAUCAAUGAAAGGUAGUGGAAACUGGUCUUUCCUUGUUUCUAGCAUCAGAUCUCACAAUCCAUAAAACAACCUUAGUUUCAACCAAUCUUCAACUAGAAUAAAAGGUUUCAGCCACUCAUGGCUGAAACAAAACCAAAAAUAAAAGAAAAGAAGAAGAAGAUGAAGAGAAGAUGGAGCCGGAUGAGAGGUUUGCGCAGAUGGUGUUGCAAAAACGUGGUUGGAGGAUCGGCUGGCCUUUAAGGAUUCUUUAAAUAGGUUUUAGAUGCUGACCUUGCUGCCCUAGAGGUAUUUGCUGUCCAAGUUGAGUCAAAAAAGGAAAGAUUCGCGUUCCAAAAUUAUUUAAAAGGAAAGAGGCGUACGCUUGCUCUUUAGAUGGAGAGUGGCACACGGAAUGGCUUCAAAAGGUAAGAGUGUGCUGUCCAAGAUUUUACUUGCUGCCCAAGUGUCUUCAAGAUGCUGCCCAAGAGGUACUUGCUGCCUAAGUUGUGUCCGAAAAGGAAAGAAUCGCAUUGAAUGGACUGUAGAGGUAAGGUGGCGCGCGGAUGCUCUUCAGAGAGAAGGUGGUCGCGCGGCAUGCAUGUGCAGAAGGGAAAGUGAAUCUAUCCAGUCUUUCCUUUAUGCUAAACGCAGAAGAGGCAAGUGCGUCUUCAUGAAAUCUUGCUGCCUAAAAAAUCGCAUGAACUGAAAUAAAAGAAAUCGCAUUAACUGAAACAAAAGAAUCGCAUGAACUGAAACAAAAGAAAAAGCAUAGAACUGAAACAAAAGAAUCGCAUGAAUUGAAACAAAAAAGCAUAGAACUGAAGAGGCAACUGAAAGCAAAAAAAUCACAUGAACUGAAACAAAAGAAAGCAAAAAUCGCAAAUCUGAAAGGAAAAAGAAAAAAUUUCGUAGAACUGAAAGGAAAAAUUGCGAGACUGAAAGGAGAAGAAGAAGAAAAGAAGAAGAAGAAAAGAAGGAGAAGAAGAGAGGUAUGCACCUCCACACCUAAAUCAUGCAUUGUCCUCAAUGUAUAAGAAUCAUAAAAGAACAAAGAAAACUGAGUACUUCCCUGGGAUAUGGUGUGCAUGGUGUGAUCACUAGGCAGAUUGAGAUGGAUGAUGUAGUGGAAUUUCUUCCACCACUUGUACUGCGAAUCCUUCAAAGUAUGGCUUCAGACGAUGCCCAUUCACCUUGAAGAUUUUUCCAGUCUCUAUGCUUCGGAUGUCUACAGCUCCAUGGGGAUAAGCAUGCUCUACAAUGAAUGGUCCAAUCCACCUAGACCGUAGCUUUCCUGAGAACAAUUUUAAACAAGAGUCAAAGAGUAAGACUUUAUCACCAACCUCAAAUUGUUUUCUUGAAAUCUGACUGUCAUGGAAGGCUUUGGUUUUUACUUUGUAGUUUCAGGAGGUCUCAUAUGCAUCUCAUCUUAUUUCCUUUAGCUCUUGCAGUUGCAACUUGCGAUGGUGUCCAUCUUCCUUAAGGUCCAUGUUGCAAUUCUUUACAACCCAAUAUGCCUUGUGUUCAAGUUCAACUGGAAGAUGGCAAGCUUUUCCAUAGACCAAUCUGUAAGGGGACAUACCUAUGGGAGUCUUGUAGGCUAUUAUGUAUGCCCAUAAGGCAUCUUCUAGACGUGCACUCCAGUCCUUUCGGUUGGGGGACACUGUCUUUUCUAGGAUGGCCUUGAUUUCUCUGUUGGACCUUCAGCUUGUCCAUUUGUCUAUGGGUGGUAGGCUGUGGAUGUUCUAUGGAUCACAUUAUGCUUUUUGAGAAGGCUUUCCACUACCUUGUUGCAAAAAUGGGUCCCUCUAUCACUGAUGAUUGCCUUUGGUACUCCAUGUCUGGCAAAGAUGUUGGUCUUCACAAAGUCUACUACUGCUUUUGCAUCAUCAGUCUUUGUUGCUCUAGCUUCCACCCAUUUGGAUACAUAAUCCACUGCAAGGAUGAUGUAGGUAUAUCCAAAGGAUGGUUGGAAUGGGCCGAUGAAGUCUAUGCCCACACAUCAAAUAUCUCACAGACCAUGAUGGGAUUCUGUGGCAUUUGAUUUCUGUUGCUCAGAUUUCCAGUCUGUUGACACCUAGCACAUGAUCUGCAAAACAUAAAAAGCAUCUCGAAAAAUAGUGGGCCAAAAUAGGCCACUUUCAAGUAUUUUAUGUGCAGUCUUUCUUGGACCAAAGUGUCCACCACAACUAUAUGAAUGACAAAAAGUGAGAACUGAAACUAUUUCUUGGUCUGGGAUACAUCUCCUUAUCAUUUGGUCAGCACAAUGUUUCCACAAAUACGGCUCAUCCCAAACAUAGUAUUUGGCAUCUUUCUUUAUCUUAUCUUUGGUGUGCUUUGGCAUAUCAGAAGGCAAGUUACCUGUGGCUAGGUAGUUUACCAUGUCUGCGUACCAUGGCUUAUCAGAUUGGGCAUGGAAGAUCUGUUCAAAGAAGCCAUUCUCACAUUCUUCAUAUUCUGAAAGGUGUUGCAAGGGUGUCUGUGUGGACUGUCUGGCAGAACUAGUUUCAGGAACAUCCUUUUGCGCAGGACUUGACUGAAAGGGAGGACCGGUCUGCAUUGGAAGCUGAAAGGACGCGCUUGAGAGGCUUUCAGGUGCCUCUUUCUGCGCAGGAAUGGUUUGCACACCAUUCUGGAGUGGUGCAACUGGUUUUUGUACUUUCUGUAGUUGUCUGCAGUUCACCUGCUGUAUGCUGCAGACUGUUUCCUUCAGUUUUGGCUCUUUCUGGCUCUCUAUCUGUACCUAGUCAGUAUCCCUGCAAAAUUCAUUGUUCAGAAUAUCAUCUUAAUUUUUAUCAAAAAUCUCCUGGCUCAAGCAGUCAACAAUAUCAAGACCAUAAAUAGGGGACAUAUCAUAUGGAUAUUUCAUAGCAUCAUAGACAUUAAAUUUAAUGACUUCCCCUUCAAACUCCAUAGUCAAUGUACCAUCAUGCACAUCAAUCUUAGUCCUAGCAGUACUCAAGAAAGGACGUCCAAGAAGGAUGUCAGAACUAGCAUUGCAACUGUCCUCCUUAGUAUCAAUCACAUAAAAAUCUACAGGAAAGAGAAGUUCAUCUACUUGAACUAACACAUCUUCUAGAACACCUAUGGGAUAUACCACAAAUCUAUCAGCUAAUUGAAUCACAACUCUUGUGUCUUUCAGUGCACAUGCAUUCAAAGAAUUAUAGAUGAAGAGAGGCAUAACAUUUAUGAAUGCACCAAGAUCACACAUGGCUUUCUUAAUUCCAACAUUCCCAAUCUUUCAAGAAAUAGCAAACAUACCUUUAUCUUUGCAUUUAGUAUGGAGCUCUCUUUUAAUUAUAGCAGUAACUACUUCACCUACACUUACUUUCUCUCUCUCAGCAAGCUUUCUUCUAUUGGUGCAAAGCUCUUUCAGAAAUUUUGCGUACCUGGGAAUCUGCUUAACAGCAUCUAGCAGAGGUAUGUUGAUUUCCACUUUUCUGAAAGUCUCCAAGAUCUCCUUUUCUUCUUUUUCUUUCUGAGUUCUUUCAAAUAUUUUUGGAAAAGGAGGUGGGAUCUGAAAAUGUACCUGGUGAUCAGCUUUCUGCGCAGGAGGUGUUUCAGAUGGAGCUCGGCUAACCAGCUCAUGCAAGUGGUGCGCGGUCUCAAAUUGCGCAGGGGUGGUCUCAGAUUGUGCAGGCUCUUGUGCAACUUGCUUCUCUUCCUCAUAUCUCACAUCUUGAAGCUCCUUUCCACUUCUCAAGGUAAUGGCACUAACAUUCUGUCUAGGAUUAGUUUCAGUUUGAGAAUGGAGCUUACCUUGGGAUUCCAGUUAGCUUAUGGAGGUGGCCAUUUGUCCCACUUGCUGUUGGAGGCUUUGCAAAGUCUUAACUACCUCAUCAAGAGUAUUAUUGGAACUUGGAGGUGCUGGUUGAGCUUCAUUUCUUUGGUAGCUCUGAUAGUUCUGGUUGUUGUUGGCCCUUCCAUAGCUGAAAUUGGGGUGGUCUCUCCAACCUGGAUUAUAAGUGUUAGAAAAUGGAUCAUGUCUUACCUGGUUGUUGUAUCCUCCAAUGGCAUUCACUUGCUGGUUAUCCUCUUGCAGUGUAGGACAUUGAUCAGUUGGGUGUCCUACAUAUGCACAGAUCCCACAUGGCCUAGUUGGCUGGGCUUGUUGAGGUUGGCCUAUGAAGAAAUUUGUCAUGGCAGAGGUUACCGCAGAAAUUUGAGAGGAAAGAUUAGAUGUACUUACCUCGUUAGCUUCUCUCUACAGUUGCUUUUCUUCUCCAUAUUGCCUAGAUGAGGCUGCAAGUGUUGAGAUCAGUUCUCUCAUCCCCCUAGGUGUCUUGUCUAUAAUAGAGCCUCCACAGGCUACAUCAAUGAAUCUCUUUUCUGAAGAAACCAGGCCUCCAUAGAAGAAUUCUAUGAGUGCCUUAUCUGAAAUCUCAUGUUGAGAACAACCUGUACACAACCUUUUAAAUCUUUCCCAAUAAUCAUAUAAGUCUUCAGAUGGUUUCUGUCUAAUGCUUGAGAUUUCUCUUCUUACACCAAUAGCCUUAUGAGUUGGGAAAUAUUUAUUUAAGAAAGUUGUUACCAUGUCAUCCCAGGAAGUAAUAGAUCCAAGUGGUAAGUAAAAUAGCCAAUCCUUAGCAUAAUAAUCAAGUGAAAAAGGAAAAGCUCUUAACUUAACAUGAUCUUCAGAAAUACCUUGAGGUCUCAUAGAUGAACAGACAAUAUUGAAUUCUUUCAAGUGCUUGUGUGGACUUUCAUUCUCUAGACCUCUAAACUUAGGGAGAAGAUGGAUCAAACCUGUUUUCAGCUCAAAGGGAACUGUCAGAGGUGGAUAGGUGAUGCAAAGUGGUUCUUGAUCACCUACAGGUGUUGCCAAUUCUUUAAUGGUUAUUUCUCUUGGCAUUGGAGCUCUCAUAGCUGGAUUUUAGUGCAUAAUCUCUUCAUGGACAGCAUGUUGAUUGUGGACAGCAGGUUGUGCCAUGUUUUUUGCCAUAUCAGGAACUUGGUGGUGCCAUCUGGUGGUUUCAGAUGGAGGUUCUGCGCAACAAGGCUCUUUAGGUGAUGGGUCUGCGCAAGAAAGUGUUUCAGGCACAGGGUUGAUGGUGACUUGCUUGCUCAGUCUCCUGAUGGUGCGUUCAAUUUUCGGAUCGUAAGGCAGAGUGUCCCUACGUUCAGAUCUGGUCAUGAAAGAAAAAUAAAUAAGCCAAGUCAACUCCCCAGCAACGACGCCAAUUUUUGACUCGCGGGUGUCGAAGCCGGUAAAAAAUAACCUUUCCGGUUAUUAACAAUAUUACUACUGCAGAUAGUGGUAAAUGAUCGAAUCCACAGAGAAUGGAAAACUAAUAUAUUUUUCUCAACAAGUCCAAGAGAAUUAACUGAAAGCGCAACUGAAAGUAAGUAAUUGAAAGCAGAAUAAAAAUAAAGUGCAAUAAAAGUAAAAUGGGGGGGUUUGAGAUUGAUUUGAUUAGCAACUACUAAAAGCAAUUAAAUAAGCAGAAUAUGAAAAAUAAAAGGGAAUAUCAAUAUGAGAAAGGUCUAGUUGAAGAGAUGCAUCCACUUUGGUUUUUUGGAUUGAUCAUUGAAACUUACGUUCUUUUGAUUGAUUCAAUAGAUUAGUUAUGGAGAUGGAAAAUGCUUCUCACCACCAUGUCUCUCCUUAUGAUUAAACCAAUUAGGGAAUGUCCUCUAAUUAAUUACUAAUUAACAAAUUGCCAAGGAACAUCCUUGGGCCUUAGACAUCAAACAAUUGUUAAUUGCAUGAAGAAAGAGAGAGAUCCAAUCCUAACUAUUCAAACGCAUGAGAUGUUGCUACAUCAUACAAUUCCUUAGUUGUUACACCAAGUGUUCUUAUAUUUGAACAAUUCAAGCAAUUACGGACUUAAAAUUAUCCAAACUAACAAUUAAUUACCUUGCAAUAAAGACUCAAGUGGCCAAUUUGACCAAAACAACAAAGUAAUAAUAGAAUUCAAGCAUGAACUGUAUGAAUAUUGAAUAACCAAAAGACAAACAAUAUGUGUUCAGAUCUCACAAUCCAUAAAACAACCUUAGUUUCAACCAAUCUUCAACUAUAAUAAAAGGUUUCAGCCACUCAUUGUAAUACUCGGCUAGAUUUCGGCAUCGGAAUCCCUACCUUCUGGCGGAAUCUCCGUUGGAAUCUGGAAUUCUGAAGAUGCCAGAGUCUUCUAGAAGGGUAAAAUGUGUUUCUAAAAUGUUUUCACAUGAUUUUAUGGUUUUAAAUGAAAAAGAAAUGAGUUUUGAAAAGAAUAGGCCAAGGAGGAAGGACCCAGGUUCGGCCGCCGAACAUGGGGCUGUUUCGGGAGUGCUUUAGGCCUCCGAAGGCUUUGAGGGAAGAAACCAGGUUCGGCCGCCAAACCUCAAGUUUGGCCGCCGAACAUGGGAUAGUUUAGGAGGCAUGUUAGGCUGCCGAAGGUGGUGAGGUUGUGGAAGCAGCUUAGGCCGCCGAAGGUGGUUGACCGACUACCUAUAAAAGGCUCCUCAGACCGAAAAUGGGCGAGUUUUCUCCCCAUUCUCGAGCUAAGGUGAGUUCAUGUCCUCCUUUGAUCGAUUUCAUGUUCUUUCUUCAAAUCUUUCAAAGUUUUAACAAGUUUUACCUUGGGUUUUGAAGUUGUGAGCUUAAGAUCAAGAUUUGGGAGCUUGAAGACCCAAGGAGCUAGAUUUCUCCCAUCUCCAAGUUAGGGAUCGCACCAACCCUCGAUCUUCAAGAGGUAAGUGUAUAUCCACACCCUUUUCUUUGUUUUAAGCAAGUUUUAAGAAGUUUUAAUGCUUGUGUGAGGGUAGAUGUGCAUGUUUAGGUUUAUGUGGGUUUUAUGCUCAAUGUAUGUUUAUAUGAUGUUUUGUUGGGUGGUUUAAGCUAGUUAUGCCCUAUAUGCAUGAGGGAGUGUGUUUGCAUGUUUGGGAGAGAGCAUGUGAGGUUUUGGGUUGUUUUGGAAGGUUUGGAGGUUGUUUGUGCAUGAGGAGGCUGAGUUCUGCCUUUCUGGAAGAACUCAGGUUCGGCAGCCGAAGGGACUUUCAGCCGCCGAACCUGCCUGUGGUGGCUUGUUUUGGCUGUCGAACCCUGCCCCCGAAAGCUGGACUUUCAGCUCUAGAGGAGAGUUUCGGCCGCCGAAAGUGCCGCCGAACAUGCAUGAGUUUCGGCUCUGGAACCACUUUCGGCCGCCGAAGGUGCCGCCGAAAGUGGCUGAGUUUCAGCUCAGGAGGGACUUUCGGCCGCCGAACCUGCCGCCGAAAGUACCCUGUUCAGCCUUCCUAUGCAUGGUUCCUAUGAUUGUUUUAUGAUGCUUUAGGAGGUUUUUGGGGAGAUGUUUAGAGUCCUUUUAGAGUAUGUUUGGUCCCUCAUUUGAGUCCACCUGUGUAGGAUCGGACCUGAGGAACCGAGGUGAUCAGCAGUGAGUUAGCUGCUUUAGAGUUAGUAAGCAUCAGCCAGAGGUGAGUAGAACAUAACUCUUUUAUAUUAAAGAAAUCAAAUGUUUUAAGCAUGUUCAUGCAUCAUGAAUACUAUGUUAUGUAAUAGGUUGAUUGCAUUUGAAUUCACGAAUAUGUUGCAUUGCAUAAUUUGAUGAUGAUGAUGUGGAUGGAUAUUGUAAUACCCAGCUAGAGUCCGGCAUCGAAAUUCUUGUCGUCCGGUAGAAUCCAGGAUGUCGGCAUCUUUAGCGGGUAAGAUUUUUGGUUUUCUAAAGUAAUGUAGUAUGUUUUAAGGUUUUGAAGUUAAAAUGAAAAGAGUUUUUGAAAGAAAAGAACCAAGGCAGAAAAGCCAGGUUCGGCCGCCAAAGGUGACAUUCGGCCGCCGAACAUGCAUGGCUUUCGGUUUCAUGAUAGGCCGCCGAAGGUGGUCUGGCCAACCACCUAUAAAAGGCCCUCAGUCGGUUGAACGGAUAAGUACUGCCGUUUCUUUCAUUUUCUGAGGUGAAACCCUGUCCUUCUUAAGUUUUCUUCAUGUUUUCAUUACAUCAUGCAAAGAUUUGAUUGAUUUUUAUGUUAUUUUGAAGGUUUUGAGCUAAAAAUACAAAGUUGUGAAGUUUGGAGAGUUUGAAGGAGAGUGGCUCCAAAACUCCACGUUGGGAUCAUUCAUCUUCUUGUUUUCAAGAGGUAAGUGAAGAUCCUGAGCUUGUUUUCAUGUUUUCUGAAGGUUUUAGAAGGUUUUGGGUAGAGUUGCAUGAAUAGGGUAAAAAGUGAGGUUUUUGGUGUUUUGUUGAUAAAAGCAUGUUUAUGUGUUAUAUGUUUUGUGUUGUUGGGGUUUUAAGAUAGUUUCUGACCCCUUUGAGCAUAUACUUGGGUGUAUGCAUGUUGAGGAAUUGAGGUGUUUGAGUUGGAGGAAGAUUGAUGCAUUUUGGCAUGAGGCAGAGCAAGGUUCUGCCUUGCUGAUGAACCCAGCUUCGGCCGCCGAAGAAAGGUUCGGUCGCCGAAUGUGCUGAGGAGGUGGCUUCGAUUGCCCAAGCUUGCCCCCGAGCUUUUGGACUUUCGGCUCUGGAGGGGAGGUUCGGCCGCCGAAGGUGCCGCCGAAGGUUAGAGACUUUCGUCUCUGGAGUGCCUUUCAGCCCCCGAAACUUGCCCCCGAAAGGGUUCGGCUGCCGAAAGUUGAGAUUCGGCCGCCAAAGGUGCAUGAGUUUCGGCUCUAGAGAGGGCUUUCGGCCAUCGAACCUGCCGCCGAAAGUGUUUUAUUCAGCCUUCCUUUGCAUACUUUGCAUGGAUGUUUGAGUGAGUUUUAGGGGAGUCUUGGAGAAUUUAAUAGAGUUAUUCAUAAGCUAGUUUGGUCCCUCAUUUGAGUUUAUCUGUGCCUACACAGACCAGAGGAACCAGAGAGAGCAGCAGUGAGUACUGCUCCAGUGUGUACAGAGCCUCCAGAGUCAGUUUAGAUAGCCAGAGGUGAGUGGAACUAAACUUAAUUCUUUUAAUUGAGAAAUGGAAUGUUUUUUAGCAUAUUUCAUGCAUCAUGGUUAUGCAGUAGGUUGAUUGCAUUAGAAUCCACGAAUAUGUUGCAUUGCAUAGUUAUUUGUUGAUGUGGGUGAAUGCUGAAUGAUCCAAUAGUCACUAAGAUAAGUCCAGGAGCCUUUGACUAUGCCCUGGCAGGUAUAGAAGUCCAGGAGCCUUUGACUACGCCCUGGCAGGUAUAGUAAAGUCCAGGAGCCUUUGCCUACGCCCUAGCAGUGGUAAGUACAGGUGUUAUAUACAUAUAUACAUAUAUGAGACAGGAAAUCCAGGUGCCUUUGACUACGCCCUGGUAUGAGAUACUGGGACUAUUUGGUGACAGGUUUACCCUUGAUGUGGAUUGUCUGUGUUAUGAUGCAUUCUGUAACGACCCGAAAACCGGUACCCCUCAGUAACGGUCCGAACCAUCACUGGCACUAGGAUCCAGAUCGGCUUAAGGCCACCGGGACCCGUAGUUAGCCAACUAUACUUGCUGUGUACCUGAUAAAUCCCAUACAUGAUACAGUACGACUCAACAAUCCUGGAAAACUCUGUAGGCUUAACUACUGCUACUCAGAUAUGUCAAUCUAGAAUGACCCUCAGGGCCUAUACCAGGGACUACCAUCUGCUGUGGCUUAAGGGAUUGAAACCCUUUUAAAUCUGUAACACAUCCCACUGGUAUCUCAUCCAAGCCAUGCAUUAAGCCUAACUCACACAUUUCUCAUCAAGAAACGUAAAACAGGAUUCAUGUACAAGGGAUUAAUCAUACAUCACACUGUAGCAAUGACACUAGGGAAAGCAUAAGUCUAUCCAGGAUAUGACAGUACAUAUCUAUACAUUAUAUUACAACUAAUCUUUUAAUUACAUCAUGUCCACUGCUAUUACACACAUACAUUCAUGCAUAACUUUCCUCUGUACUCUUGCUGACUUUGACUUCCCAUAGCUAUCUCAGAACCUGCAAAACUGGGGUUAAGGGAGUGGGAUGAGCUCUAGAGCCCAGUGAGGAGGAACAAUAAAAACAGUUCAGUCAUUACAUGCUCUCAUGAAAUGCAUCACAUCACAAACAUAUCAUCUCAAGGAUGAAUUUGUCACCAAUAACCCUCAACUACAUGUUAUAAUAAUGCCAACUGUGCCAAGGAGACUAUGUCAUCACCUGGUCUACACUUAUCUCUCUGAUAUCAUAACAUGACCAACUGUGCCAAGGAGACGAGGUCUCACCUGGUCUACACUUAACUCUGAUUUGACAGCCCAGCUGUCUCACUCAUAGUACCAGGAGCGACCUGGACUAUCCAGGGGCGACCUGGUAUGGCUAUCUCAUGCCAUAAAUCUGUAUCUGCUCUCUGUCAAGGGCUAAGGCUCAUCCAACAUUCAUCCACAUAAACAACAUCUUAUGCAAUGCAUCAUCGUCGUGAAUUCUAAUGCAAUACAACCUAAUACAUAACAUGGCAGUUUAUGAUGCAUGGAUCAUGCUAGAAUCGUGUCAUUUCUCAAGAGAAAAUAUGUAGUUUAG